CCUACGGGUGGCAGCAGUGAGGAAUAUUGGUCAAUGGGCGCGAGCCUGAACCAGCCAAGUAGCGUGAAGGAUGACUGCCCUACGGGUUGUAAACUUCUUUUAUAAAGGAGUAAAGUGAGGCACGUGUGCCUUUUUGUAUGUACUUUAUGAAUAAGGAUCGGCUAACUCCGUGCCAGCAGCCGCGGUAAUACGGAGGAUCCGAGCGUUAUCCGGAUUUAUUGGGGUUAAGGGGUGCGCAGGCGGAAGAUCAAGUCAGCGUGAAAAUUGAGAGGCCAAACCUCGUAGAGCCGUUGAUACUGGUUAUCUUGAGUGAGCGAGAGGUAUGCGGAAUGCGUGGUGUAGCGGUGAAAUGCAUAGAGAUCACGCAGAACUCCGAUUGCGAAGGCAGCAUACCGGCGCUCAACUGACGCUGAUGCACGAAAGUGUGGGUAGCGAACAGGAUUAGAUACCCGAGUAGUC
RNAcentral lists this ribosomal RNA (459 nucleotides) under uncultured bacterium. Its description in RNAcentral is "partial 16S ribosomal RNA". It matches the Rfam family "Bacterial small subunit ribosomal RNA", at positions 338 to 795 of the family's 1533-position model. The record is from RNAcentral.